GACGAACGCUGGCGGCGUGCUUAACACAUGCAAGUCGAACGGAAAGGCCCUGCUUUUGUGGGGUGCUCGAGUGGCGAACGGGUGAGUAACACGUGAGUAACCUGCCCGUGACUUUGGGAUAACUUCAGGAAACUGGGGCUAAUACCGGAUAGGAGCUCCUGCGGCAGGGUGGGGGUUGGAAAGUUUCGGCGGUUGGGGAUGGACUCGCGGCUUAUCAGCUUGUUGGUGGGGUAGUGGCUUACCAAGGCUUUGACGGGUAGCCGGCCUGAGAGGGUGACCGGCCACAUUGGGACUGAGAUACGGACCAGACUCCUACGGGAGGCAGCAGUGGGGAAUAUUGCACAAUGGGCGGAAGCCUGAUGCAGCAACGCCGCGUGCGGGAUGACGGCCUUCGGGUUGUAAACCGCUUUCGCCUGUGACGAAGCGUGAGUGACGGUAAUGGGUAAAGAAGCACCGGCUAACUACGUG
This 468-nucleotide ribosomal RNA is filed under the name uncultured bacterium. Its description in RNAcentral is "partial 16S ribosomal RNA". It matches the Rfam family "Bacterial small subunit ribosomal RNA", at positions 28 to 507 of the family's 1533-position model. The record is from RNAcentral.